This 440-nucleotide ribosomal RNA is filed under the name uncultured bacterium. RNAcentral's name for it is "partial 16S ribosomal RNA". It matches the Rfam family "Bacterial small subunit ribosomal RNA", at positions 338 to 795 of the family's 1533-position model. The record is from RNAcentral.
CCUACGGGAGGCAGCAGUGGGGAAUAUUGCACAAUGGGGGAAACCCUGAUGCAGCGACGCCGCGUGAGCGAUGAAGUAUUUCGGUAUGUAAAGCUCUAUCAGCAGGGAAGAAGAUGACGGUACCUGACUAAUAAGCCCCGGCUAACUACGUGCCAGCAGCCGCGGUAAGACGUAGGGGGCAAGCGUUAUCCGGAUUUACUGGGUGGAAAGGGAGCGUAGACGGCGAUGCAAGCCAGAUGUGAAAGCCCGGGGCUCAACCCCGGGACUGCAUUUGGAACUGUGUGGCUGGAGUGUCGGAGAGGUAGGCGGAAUUCCUAGUGUAGCGGUGAAAUGCGUAGAUAUUAGGAGGAACACCAGUGGCGAAGGCGGUCUGCUGGACGAUGACUGACGUUGAGGCUCGAAAGCGUGGGGAGCAAACAGGAUUAGAUACCCCGGUAGUC